CACCGUACCCAAAACCGCACCGCA
Molecule: non-coding RNA, 24 nt
Filed under: Arabidopsis thaliana (thale cress)
Lineage: Eukaryota; Viridiplantae; Streptophyta; Magnoliopsida; Brassicales; Brassicaceae
Source: RNAcentral